Molecule: long non-coding RNA, 648 nt
Filed under: Phascolarctos cinereus (koala)
Lineage: Eukaryota; Metazoa; Chordata; Mammalia; Diprotodontia; Phascolarctidae
Description: lncRNA (ENSPCIG00000013765.2)
Source: RNAcentral
GAUUCUAGUGUUUACUGAAUUCAGGCAGCUCUUUUGUGUCCAGUUCCUGCUUAAAGUUGUUCUUGUCCUUCUGUCACUGUCAGUAAGAGAAUUAAACACGACCCAUUCCAACAAAAAGAAAAAUGAGGAAAAGACUAGAGACCAUACUAUUGAAACUGGCUAGAAGCCUUAGCUGGACUAGUUGCCAAGCUCAACUGGAAGUUGGACCACAUGGGAAUAGUCAGGAAUACCUCAAGAUUCAUCUUGUGGAAUAUUUGCCCUGGGCUAUCAUGGGCUGAUUUGAAGUAUUUCAAAAGGCCAGGAACUGAAAUAACUAAAUGUUCUAAACUUUUGCUCCACUGUCACUCUUGGAAAUGGUAUUUGAGUCUGCAGCACAUAUCCAAGUACUGGUCACAUGUUAUUAUCGGACAAAGAUAACCUAAGUAAUUAAAACCCACUGAUAAUAUAAAAUCUUGUUUCAAACAUGCCAUUUAUUUUCUACUCUCUUUUCUAGUGAACCAUUUAACCAGCUACAUUGAAUUGAAAGAGAAGAGAAUCUAUCCAGAGAAGGGAUGAUUUAUUGGGAGAACAGAUAAGAAAAGAAAUACUGGAAGUCAUAAAAAAAAGUUGAAUUAAAAUCUAUUCUUAGGAAGAGUAAGGCAAGGGGAG